GACGAACGCUGGCGGCGUGCUUAACACAUGCAAGUCGAACGGAAAGGCCCUGCUUUUGUGGGGUGCUCGAGUGGCGAACGGGUGAGUAACACGUGAGUAACCUGCCCUUGACGUUGGGAUAACUUCAGGAAACUGGGGCUAAUACCGGAUAGGAGCUCCUGCUGCAUGGUGGGGGUUGGAAAGUUUCGGCGGUUGGGGAUGGACUCGCGGCUUAUCAGCUUGUUGGUGGGGUAGUGGCUUACCAAGGCUUUGACGGGUAGCCGGCCUGAGAGGGUGACCGGCCACAUUGGGACUGAGAUACGGCCCAGACUCCUACGGGGGGCAGCAGUGGGGAAUAUUGCACAAUGGGCGGAAGCCUGAUGCAGCAACGCCGCGUGCGGGAUGACGGCCUUCGGGUUGUAAACCGCUUUCGCCUGUGACGAAGCGUGAGUGACGGUAAUGGGUAAAGAAGCACCGGCUAACUACGUG
This 468-nucleotide ribosomal RNA is filed under the name uncultured bacterium. Its description in RNAcentral is "partial 16S ribosomal RNA". It matches the Rfam family "Bacterial small subunit ribosomal RNA", at positions 28 to 507 of the family's 1533-position model. The record is from RNAcentral.